AGUGAACGCUGGCGGUAGGCCUAACACAUGCCAGUCGAACGGCAGCACAGUAAGAGCUUGCUCUUACGGGUGGCGAGUGGCGGACGGGUGAGGAAUACAUCGGAAUCUACUUUUUCGUGGGGGAUAACGUAGGGAAACUUACGCUAAUACCGCAUACGACCUACGGGUGAAAGCAGGGGAUCUUCGGACCUUGCGCGAUUGAAUGAGCCGAUGUCGGAUUAGCUAGUUGGCGGGGUAAAGGCCCACCAAGGCUACGAUCCGUAGCUGGUCUGAGAGGAUGAUCAGCCACACUGGAACUGAGACACGGUCCAGACUCCUACGGGAGGCAGCAGUGGGGAAUAUUGGACAAUGGGCGCAAGCCUGAUCCAGCCAUACCGCGUGGGUGAUGAAGGCCUUCGGGUUGUAAAGCCCUUUUGUUGGGAAAGAAAAGCAGCAGGUUAAUACCCCGCUGUUCUGACGGUACCCAAAGAAUAAGCACCGGCUAACUUCGUG
Molecule: ribosomal RNA, 492 nt
Filed under: uncultured bacterium
Lineage: Bacteria
Description: partial 16S ribosomal RNA
Rfam family: Bacterial small subunit ribosomal RNA
Source: RNAcentral